This 74-nucleotide transfer RNA is filed under the name Nostoc sp. MBR 210. Its description in RNAcentral is "tRNA-Leu". It matches the Rfam family "tRNA". From Rfam's summary of the family: Transfer RNA (tRNA) molecules are approximately 80 nucleotides in length. Their secondary structure includes four short double-helical elements and three loops (D, anti-codon, and T loops). Lineage: Bacteria; Bacillati; Cyanobacteriota; Cyanophyceae; Nostocales; Nostocaceae. The record is from RNAcentral.
GCCCCUGUAGCCCAACCGGAAGAGGUACCAGGCUAAGAACUUGGUUGUUACUGGUUCAAAUCCAGUCAGGGGCA